AGUGAACGCUGGCGGUAGGCCUAACACAUGCAAGUCGAACGGCAGCACAGUAAGAGCUUGCUCUUACGGGUGGCGAGUGGCGGACGGGUGAGGAAUACAUCGGAAUCUACUUUUUCGUGGGGGAUAACGUAGGGAAACUUACGCUAAUACCGCAUACGACCUACGGGUGAAAGCAGGGGAUCUUCGGACCUUGCGCGACUGAAUGAGCCGAUGUCGGAUUAGCUAGUUGGCGGGGUAAAGGCCCACCAAGGCGACGAUCCGUAGCUGGUCUGAGAGGAUGAUCAGCCACACUGGAACUGAGACACGGUCCAGACUCCUACGGGAGGCAGCAGUGGGGAAUAUUGGACAAUGGGCGCAAGCCUGAUCCAGCCAUACCGCGUGGGUGAAGAAGGCCUUCGGAUUGUAAAACCCUUUUGUCGGGAAAGAAAAGCAGCAGGUUAAUACCCCGCUGUUCUGACGGUACCCAAAGAAUAAGCACCGGCUAACUUCGUG
This 492-nucleotide ribosomal RNA is filed under the name uncultured bacterium. RNAcentral describes it as "partial 16S ribosomal RNA". It matches the Rfam family "Bacterial small subunit ribosomal RNA", at positions 29 to 507 of the family's 1533-position model. The record is from RNAcentral.